RNAcentral lists this transfer RNA (68 nucleotides) under Fer nigripennis. RNAcentral's name for it is "tRNA-Tyr". Lineage: Eukaryota; Metazoa; Arthropoda; Insecta; Orthoptera; Acrididae. The record is from RNAcentral.
GGUAAGAUGACCGAAAUAAUAGGUGAUAGAUUGUAAAUCUAUUAAUGAGAAAUUUUUCUCUCUUAUCA